GAAAACUUAUGCGAUUCAUCACAUGAGGAUGUAGACUCUAGAGGAGCCCAAAGAAAGCAUUGCAAACAUGGAUGGUUGUAUUGUUGAUGCUCUUGAGUUAGACAUAACUGCCUUCGACAACAUUGCAGCAAGGACCACUGCUUAAAGCUUAUCGAGCACAUGUUUUGAGUCUUCAGGGACCAAAGAGGAAGUUGAAGAAGAAGAUAAAGACAAGGAUGAAGGCGAUGAACCGAAUGCGGAAAAGCUUUCAUCGUCAAAAGAUGUAGCAGAGAAUUCUCUCCAUCCUGACUUUGCAGAAG
Molecule: long non-coding RNA, 299 nt
Filed under: Nicotiana benthamiana
Lineage: Eukaryota; Viridiplantae; Streptophyta; Magnoliopsida; Solanales; Solanaceae
Description: long non-coding RNA (NBEN_LNC006750)
Source: RNAcentral